RNAcentral lists this ribosomal RNA (465 nucleotides) under uncultured bacterium. Its description in RNAcentral is "partial 16S ribosomal RNA". It matches the Rfam family "Bacterial small subunit ribosomal RNA", at positions 28 to 507 of the family's 1533-position model. The record is from RNAcentral.
GACGAACGAGGGGGGAGGGAGGACCACAGAAAAGUCGAACUGACAGGCCCAGCUUGCUGGGUACUCGAGUGGCGAACGGGUGAGUAACACGUGGGUGAUAUGGGCAUGACUUUGGGAUAAGCCUGGGAAACUGGGUCUAAUACCGGAUAUGACCUACAUCGCAUGGUGUUUGGUGGAAAGCUUUUGCGGUUGGGGAUGGGCCCGCGGCCUAUCAGCUUGUUGGUGGGGUAAUGGCCUACCAAGGCGACGAGGGGGCGCCGACCUGAGAGGGUGAUCGGCCACACUGGGACUGAGACACGGCCCAGACUCCUACGGGAGGCAGCAGUGGGGAAUAUUGCACAAUGGGCGCAAGCCUGAUGCAGCGACGCCGCGUGAGGGAACACUGACUGCGGGUUGUAAACCUCUUUCACCAGGGACGAAGCGUGAGUGACGGUACCUGGAGAAGAAGCACCGGCACCCUACGUG